AAAAGCUCGUAGUUGAAUUUCUGUCUGUAAGGAUCGAAACACCACUGUUGAGGUCUCUUCGGGCAUCUGUUUGCAAGCAUACGUUCGGCCUUCACUGGUUGGCUAUGUAAGCAAACGUUUUACCUUGAGAAAAUUAGAGUGUUCCAGGCAGGCUUCAGCCGGAAUACAUUAGCAUGGAAUAAUGGAAUAGGACUGGGAACUAUUCAUGGUUUGAGGGCCCAGUAAUGAUUAAUAGGAACAGUCGGGGGCAUUAGUACUUUACAGUCAGAGGUGAAAUUCUUGGAUUUGUAAAAGACUAACUAAUGCGAAAGCAUUUGCCAAGCAUGUUUUCAUUAAUCAAGAACGAAAGUUAGGGGAUCAAAGACGAUUAGAUACCGUCCUAGUCUUAACUGUAAACGAUUCCAUCUUAGAAUUGGGUGAAGAUACUAUGAUUCAUCCAGCGCUAUAAGAGAAAUCAAAGUCUUUGGGUUCUUGGUGGAGUACGAUCGCAAGAUUGAAACUUAAAGGAAUUGACGGUUUUGCACACCAUGAAGUGGAGCCUGUGGCUUAAUUUGACUCAACACUGGGAAACUUAUCAGGACAAAAAAGUUUUAGGAUUGACAGAUUGAUAGCUCUUUCUUGAUUGACUUAAUGGUGGUGCAUGGCCGUUCUUAGUUGGUGGAGUGAUUUGUCUGGUUAAUUCCGAUAACGAACGAGACCUUAACCUACUAACUAGUACGACGUGAUAAACGUUAGUUACUUCUUAGAGGGACAAUGUGUUUUUAACACACGGAAGUUUAAGGCAAUAACAGGUCUGUGAUGCCCUUAAAUGUCCUGAGCCGCACACGCGCUACAAUGACACUUUCAAUAAGUAUUCGCUGGUCCGAAAGGAUCCUGGCUAAUCUUUUUAGUGAGUGUCGUGCUAGGGAUAGAUCUUUGCAAUUGUGGAUCUUGAACGAGGAAUUUCUAGUAAGCACAAGUCAUCAGCUUGUGCUGAUUACGUCCCUGCAAAAUGUACACAUCGCCCGUCGCUUGCUCCGAUUGAGUAAACUGGUGAGCCUUCC
RNAcentral lists this ribosomal RNA (1043 nucleotides) under Opercularia sp. 1 LRPU-2010. Its description in RNAcentral is "SSU rRNA". It matches the Rfam family "Eukaryotic small subunit ribosomal RNA", at positions 622 to 1711 of the family's 1831-position model. Lineage: Eukaryota; Ciliophora; Oligohymenophorea; Sessilida; Operculariidae. The record is from RNAcentral.